This is a non-coding RNA of Phrynosoma platyrhinos (Desert horned lizard), 72 nucleotides long. Lineage: Eukaryota; Metazoa; Chordata; Lepidosauria; Squamata; Phrynosomatidae. The record is from the annotation of a GenBank genome assembly.
GCCUGCGUGGUAUAGUGGCUUGAGUGUUGGACUAUGACACGGAAGACCAGGGUUCAAUUCCCAGCUCAGCCA